GGGGACACCAGGCUUGCAGUGCAUCCGGUUUAGGGAGUAAACUAUGGAUGUUGCAGUGCACAAAAGAGAGGCCUUUUUUAGUGGGGAGAUUAGGACUAGAAUUAGCUGGGGGACCAGGGUUAGACGCCACAUCAUUUGCAAGGGCAAGUAACAUAAGGAAUAGGAAUUUGGACAUCAUUUUUGUUUGGCCAUAUAGUGAAUGGGAUACUUUAUAAUUUUGUGAGGUGGGGGUAGGAGGGCUAUUUU
Molecule: non-coding RNA, 246 nt
Organism: Pelobates cultripes (western spadefoot toad)
Lineage: Eukaryota; Metazoa; Chordata; Amphibia; Anura; Pelobatidae
Source: the annotation of a GenBank genome assembly